Molecule: ribosomal RNA, 456 nt
Filed under: uncultured bacterium
Lineage: Bacteria
Description: bacterial SSU rRNA
Rfam family: Bacterial small subunit ribosomal RNA
Source: RNAcentral
GAUGAACGCUAGCUACAGGCUUAACACAUGCAAGUCGAGGGGAAACGACAUUGGAAGCUUGCUUCCUUUGGGCGUCGACCGGCGCACGGGUGAGUAACGCGUAUCCAACCUUCCCGCAAGUAAGGGAUAACCCGUAGAAAUGCGGCCUAAUACCUUAUGUUUUCCUUAGAGGGCAUCUGAUGAGGAACAAAGAUCCGUCGCUUGCGGAUGGGGAUGCGUCUGAUUAGUUAGUCGGCGGGGUAACGGCCCACCAAGGCGACGAUCAGUAGGGGUUCUGAGAGGAAGGUCCCCCACAUUGGAACUGAGACACGGUCCAAACUCCUACGGGAGGCAGCAGUGAGGAAUAUUGGUCAAUGGGCGAAAGCCUGAACCAGCCAAGUAGCGUGAGGGAAGACUGCCCUACGGGUUGUAAACCUCUUUUGUUGGGAAUAAAGUGCGGGACGCGUCCCGCAUUGC